RNAcentral lists this ribosomal RNA (878 nucleotides) under uncultured Moraxella sp. RNAcentral's name for it is "bacterial SSU rRNA". It matches the Rfam family "Bacterial small subunit ribosomal RNA", at positions 73 to 947 of the family's 1533-position model. Lineage: Bacteria; Pseudomonadati; Pseudomonadota; Gammaproteobacteria; Moraxellales; Moraxellaceae. The record is from RNAcentral.
UACCAGCUUGCUGGUAUGAUUAGUGGCGAACGGGUGAGUAAUGCUUAGGAAUCUGCCUAUUAGUGGGGGACAACAUUCCGAAAGGAAUGCUAAUACCGCAUACGUCCUAUGGGAGAAAGCAGGGGAUCGCAAGACCUUGCGCUAAUAGAUGAGCCUAAGUCGGAUUAGCUAGUUGGUGGGGUAAAGGCCUACCAAGGCGACGAUCUGUAGCUGGUCUGAGAGGAUGAUCAGCCACACUGGGACUGAGACACGGCCCAGACUCCUACGGGAGGCAGCAGUGGGGAAUAUUGGACAAUGGGCGAAAGCCUGAUCCAGCCAUGCCGCGUGUGUGAAGAAGGCCUUUUGGUUGUAAAGCACUUUAAGUGGGGAGGAAAAGCUAAUAAUUAAUACCUAUUAGCCCUGACGUUACCCACAGAAUAAGCACCGGCUAACUCUGUGCCAGCAGCCGCGGUAAUACAGAGGGUGCAAGCGUUAAUCGGAAUUACUGGGCGUAAAGCGAGCGUAGGUGGUCAUUUAAGUCAGAUGUGAAAUCCCCGGGCUUAACCUGGGAACUGCAUCUGAUACUGGGUGACUAGAGUAGGUGAGAGGGAAGUAGAAUUCCAGGUGUAGCGGUGAAAUGCGUAGAGAUCUGGAGGAAUACCGAUGGCGAAGGCAGCUUCCUGGCAUCAUACUGACACUGAGGUUCGAAAGCGUGGGUAGCAAACAGGAUUAGAUACCCUGGUAGUCCACGCCGUAAACGAUGUCUACCAGUCGUUGGGUCUCUUGAAGACUUAGUGACGCAGUUAACGCGAUAAGUAGACCGCCUGGGGAGUACGGCCGCAAGGUUAAAACUCAAAUGAAUUGACGGGGGCCCGCACAAGCGGUGGAGCAUGUGGUUU